GUGGUUGUUUUCGGACGUGGGGAGUUACACUUAUUGAUACUAAAAUAUUAUGUUCAAUGCUGAGGAAAAGCUGUAAGAAUUCUCAGGUUUCCGACUUUGUCUAAAGGCGCUUUGCAUUGUUGGCUGUGUCUAGGAACUGCUACCAAUGGCGGAUUUCCGGCUUUGAAGAAGGCUAAUGACGCUACGCCAUUCGUGGAGCUUUUGAAACAACGUAACAUCAUUCCUGGCAUCAAGGUUGAUAAGGGUGUCGUGCCACUCUUUGCUACAAACGAU
This 273-nucleotide long non-coding RNA is filed under the name Polistes fuscatus (common paper wasp). RNAcentral's name for it is "uncharacterized LOC122514147". The record is from RNAcentral. Lineage: Eukaryota; Metazoa; Arthropoda; Insecta; Hymenoptera; Vespidae.